GGCCGACUAGCUCAGUUGGUUAGAGCGUGGUGCUAAUAACGCCAAGGUCGUCGGUUCGAUCCCGGCGUUGGCCA
This is a transfer RNA of Trametes pubescens, 74 nucleotides long. It matches the Rfam family "tRNA". From Rfam's summary of the family: Transfer RNA (tRNA) molecules are approximately 80 nucleotides in length. Their secondary structure includes four short double-helical elements and three loops (D, anti-codon, and T loops). Further hydrogen bonds mediate the characteristic L-shaped molecular structure. tRNAs have two regions of fundamental functional importance: the anti-codon, which is responsible for specific mRNA codon recognition, and the 3' end, to which the tRNAs corresponding amino acid is attached (by aminoacyl-tRNA synthetases). tRNAs cope with the degeneracy of the genetic code in two manners: having more than one tRNA (with a specific anti-codon) for a particular amino acid; and 'wobble' base-pairing, i.e. permitting non-standard base-pairing at the 3rd anti-codon position. Lineage: Eukaryota; Fungi; Basidiomycota; Agaricomycetes; Polyporales; Polyporaceae. The record is from Rfam.